CUCACUCAGGGAUCUUAGUCCUGAGGCAGAGAGGAUCUAGAGCAUAAGCAAAGCGGCUUUGGGUUAGGAACCCUAGGAGAAGUGACGCCAGAGGAAAAGGGUAUCCUCCCUCCCCAAUCCUUAGGAUGUGCAGCUGAGAGGUGAACUCUUACAGAAGGAGAGAAUCCAGAGGAGGACAACAUAAAUCAGGAUGCAUCAAAAACAGCCAUUUUGGGGGCUCAUCCAGGAGGGCAACGCCUGCAGAGACAACGGCAGCUGCUGCGGACCGUUCCCCUUCGAACCCCAUGGUGCCACAAUAGAGGAGAUGGAUGAUGGUUGCAGCAGAUGUUUCCUACUGGGGCAUCAACAGGGAAGAAUUAUUAUGGGGGAAGAAGGACUCCACGGAGAGAAAUUAUCUUGCAAAACUGUUGGUCCUCUCUGCAGUAAAUAAUUAUGCCCUUGCACGUAAAUCAGGUGUCAUUGAGGAUCCAGCAGCACCCCAAACUGAAAACUUCUUAAAUGAAAGAAGGAUAGGAAGGACAACCACCCCACUUUCUCUUAACACACCAAACAAUUCUGGGAACAAAACAGGCAAUGAGCUCUGAAGAUGUGAAGAAUUCCUAGAAAUUGAAAGAUAUAAUACACACAAC
Chelonia mydas (Green sea turtle) is the source of this 629-nucleotide long non-coding RNA. RefSeq lists it as uncharacterized. The transcript is spliced from 5 exons. NCBI's taxonomy places the organism in Eukaryota, Metazoa, Chordata, Testudines, Cheloniidae. The record is from RefSeq and is a predicted model, not a curated record.